CAAAGUCAUUAUCCUUUAUGUCUAUUUCAAGAGUAUGAUUUCUUGUCGUAUUCAAAUUUCUAGAGUCAUCGUUCACAAUGUCAUUCAUUAUGAUAUUUACAGAUUCAUCAUUUUUCGGACUUUUUAGGUGUGUAUCUUGUAGAUUCAUUAAACAAUGGCUUCUCAAUAUUCUUGCCUUCCAACUUCCAAGAUUCAUCAAUAUUACAACCAAAAUACACAUUGAUCACAAAAAAGAGGUAAACUCUCGUAUUCCAAUUGAACAAAGAAUACAUAAUCCCCACUUUCCACCAAAAUACGAUCAUGGAGAGUAUCCGACAUGUCGUGUGCGUGUGUGUGAUCUAGCAGUGAAACACUUGGGUCUUGAGAGUGUGCUCCUAUCAAGGUCUCAGAUUCGAAACCCGCUAGGUUCAAAUUGCUUAUUAAAAAAAAAAGUUAACAAAUUCAAAAUCUCUAAUUUAUUAAAAUUUAUCAGAGAAAAACAAAAAUCCCUAACCUAAACUCUCAAAUUGCUUUAUUUUUUCUCAUUAAUUUAUGAACUUUUUUUUAACUAGUAUAAUAAACAGCAUAACAUUUUUUUAAAAAUAAAAUAAUAACAUAACCUAACAUAACAAAUAUAAUGAUUUAUGUGUCUAUAAUGUAAAAAUAAAUAAAUAAAGAUCAUGAUUUAAAAUAGUAACUAUUAAAAUUGACUCCAACAUAUAAUAUCACACCAAUUAAUGUCAACUAGAAUAUCUUUUAUGUUAAUUAUUGUUAGUUUUUAUAAAACUAAUUCCAUUAUAGUAUUAUUUCCUUUUUGGAAUUUCCCCCUUAACAAUUAUGAAAAGCUAAAACACAAUUGGGUGAGCUAAAGUGGUAAACCCAACCCAUUGAUGGUCUUUAGAAAUAUUUUACAAUAAUUAAAAUUAUUUGAAUGGUUACUUACAUUCACCAAAUGCUAUAAACUAUCUUAUUAAAGUAAACUUUUUUUGUAAUUUUUACUAUAAGUUGAUCAAACAAAUUUUCAUUUAUUUCAUCCAAAGAGAAAAAAUAUAUGAAUUCCGUUAUCAAAUUCGUUUAUGUUUCGAUUAUUUACAUUUCACUACUUUUUGUUUUAAUCGAUUCUGCUCGAAUUUCUACAGGUCGACCCAUCCCACCUAUAUUUCCUUGCAAUGUUUAUGAUGAUUGUCCAUGGGAUUUGUGUCUUAAUGCUGUAGGUGUGUUUUGCAUGAAUGGUGCUUGUGGGUGCUUAUAGAGGAAUUUUAGUUUAUUAAUUGAGUUGAAAAAUAAAUCCAUAUUAUUAAACACCUGUCAUUUAAA
Long non-coding RNA from Vicia villosa (hairy vetch), 1296 nucleotides. RefSeq lists it as uncharacterized. The transcript is spliced from 2 exons. The record is from RefSeq and is a predicted model, not a curated record. Lineage: Eukaryota; Viridiplantae; Streptophyta; Magnoliopsida; Fabales; Fabaceae.